GGGUGAGUAAUGUAUGGGGAUCUGCCCGAUAGAGGGGGAUAACUACUGGAAACGGUGGCUAAUACCGCAUGACGUCUACGGACCAAAGCAGGGGCUCUUCGGACCUUGCGCUAUCGGAUGAACCCAUAUGGGAUUAGCUAGUAGGUGAGGUAAAGGCUCACCUAGGCGACGAUCUCUAGCUGGUCUGAGAGGAUGAUCAGCCACACUGGGACUGAGACAC
RNAcentral lists this ribosomal RNA (220 nucleotides) under Vibrio parahaemolyticus. Its description in RNAcentral is "partial 16S ribosomal RNA". It matches the Rfam family "Bacterial small subunit ribosomal RNA", at positions 104 to 327 of the family's 1533-position model. Lineage: Bacteria; Pseudomonadati; Pseudomonadota; Gammaproteobacteria; Vibrionales; Vibrionaceae. The record is from RNAcentral.